This 61-nucleotide transfer RNA is filed under the name Teleogryllus emma (emma field cricket). RNAcentral's name for it is "tRNA-Cys". Lineage: Eukaryota; Metazoa; Arthropoda; Insecta; Orthoptera; Gryllidae. RNAcentral also lists the same sequence under 1 other name. The record is from RNAcentral.
GGUCUUAUAUUCAAUAAUGAUUUUAGACUGCAAUUCUAAAGGUGUAAUUUUACUAAGACCU